Chrysemys picta bellii (western painted turtle) is the source of this 1879-nucleotide long non-coding RNA. RefSeq lists it as uncharacterized. The record is from RefSeq and is a predicted model, not a curated record. NCBI's taxonomy places the organism in Eukaryota, Metazoa, Chordata, Testudines, Emydidae.
GUAAUAGGAUCCUAUAUAAGAAAAAGACCCAAAAAUCAGGACAUCUGGUCACCCUAGGCACCCAAAUGGCUAGGGUCGGCCCUGGCCAGACCAGUGUGGAUUUUGGAUUUUUUUUUAGCACACAGAUGUGUGCUAAUUGGGCCGCAUGCAGCCCACGGGCCGCAGUUUGAGAACCACUGAGUCAGAGAGAUCCAUGGAUCAAGUUGUUUGUGAGGGGUUUGGGGUGUGAUGGACUGAAAUGUCGACCAGUCUAGGCUGCCAACGGACUGGCGUGACAACCUGGCUUUCAAGGAAAUAAAGGACUGCCUGAAAAAUAUGAGGGUGAAAGGCAAAUUGUCUGCUUCCCAUUUGGCCCCCGUUUUAAAUUAAGCAAGGACCUGCUUUUAGAAAACCUUAUAGCAACACAAACUGCCUUCCCCAGUUUGUACUUUAACACAGUUGCUUAAAAACAGCAUUCCCACAAAAUUCCAAUGGAAAUAUGUUUUGAAGCAAACAAAUAGUGCCCACGUGGUGGUGUGUGAAAGUUGCAGGCUACAGCAAGUGGGAGCUGAAAGUGAAACUGACCAUAAGCAAAACUGGAUUCACUUUUAUUGUUAUGCACAUUGUGGGGACACCCACCGUAAGUUAGGCGCUUUCCAAACUCAGAGGAAGACGGUCCCAGCCACAAAGAGCUUACAGUGUAAAAACGACAAACUAUAAGGGAAAGGGAUGUAGUACGCAAGCAGAGUGAUGAAUUGCGUGUUUCGCUGUAGCUUAUUUUUAGAUUUCCCUCUGAUCAUCCUCCCUUCACAGGUUAGCCCUCUCUGCUUUCGCCACAGCAUUUCCUACCUUCAAAUCUAGUGGUCUUUUAUGCCCCUCUGUACCUGUACCUCCCUCAUAAAGAUGACCCUAGUCAAUCAUGUGAUAAGUAAGUGAAACAGUAAGUAGAUGGCUUAGGCCCAGAUCCUACAGACUUUUAAACUUUGCAGGCUUAAUAAACGGAAAAUUAUAUCGAGCUAACUAUAUGUAUUAGGGUUGUGAUUUUUUUAAGUAAGUUAUACCAGUACAGACCUAUUGUGAACACAGUCAUAUCCAUAUAAAGAUGUAGCUUAUUGGUCUUCCUGUGUGGAAAUGUGAAUUGGUGUAAGCAUUUUUAUACCCUUAUAACUGUCAUAAGAGGAGAGUUGUACUGCUUUAACUAUAGCAGUGUAGUUCAAGCAGUUUAGACAAAUCCUAAACUAGUUUCCUGUGAGUGUGUGGCAGAAUUUUAUCUGCAGGAAGGAUUUAAGAGAGGAGAGGGAAGUGGUUUUGUGGGCUGAUCCCAAAAGGGUGUUUUUUCUAUAGAGCUGCUUGAAACUUUAUUUUGUGUUUGUGGGAAUUUUGAAAGCAUGCUCAUGCCAUUGUUCUUAUUUCUAAAUUAACCAGUUUUUCAUUUUCUGCAGUUUUUUUUUAAAUUAUUUUUUUCCAUUUUCAAAAUCAACAGUUUUCAAAAAAUAAAAUGAUCAAAUUUCUAAUUUUUUAAAAUGUAUAUAAAAUAGAUCAGAUUUUUGCAUUAUAGACCCCUCUUCUUUUUUCAGUUGGUCAUAAAUUGCUGGGACGGAGAGGGAGAAUGUUUGGAGCUGAAACUUUCCAUGCUUAGGCUUAGCUCUAAAGCCUUACAACAACUGUGGUUUCUGGGAGCCUCUAAACAAGUCAUCCUCAACCCUCUCAAGGUCUGUGUACCUAGCCCUCUGCUUUGUUCGGAGACUUGCAGAAUUUUGUUUACAUGAAUUUUGUGGUUCAACCAUGUGAGCUUAGAUAUGCAGUCAGUCUUAUCUCAAAUCCUCUACUGAAACUCAAAAGCAAGAUUGAAAAUGUAAAGCUGAGGCACUUGCGUCAGCAGCAGUAAAGUAGCUGUGAG